RNAcentral lists this ribosomal RNA (395 nucleotides) under uncultured bacterium. Its description in RNAcentral is "bacterial SSU rRNA". It matches the Rfam family "Bacterial small subunit ribosomal RNA", at positions 162 to 554 of the family's 1533-position model. The record is from RNAcentral.
GUUAAUACUGCAUACGUCCCUAACGGGAGAAAGAUGGCCUCUUUGCUGUCGCUGAAAGACGAGCUUGCGUACGAUUAGCUAGUUGGUAGGGUAAAGGCCUACCAAGGCAAAGAUCGUUAGCCGGCCUGAGAGGGUGUACGGCCACACUGGAACUUAUACACGGUCCAGACUCCUACGGGAGGCAGCAGUGAGGAAUCUUGCGCAAUGGGCGAAAGCCUGACGCAUCGACGCCGCGUGGAGGAUGAAGGUCUUCGGAUUGUAAACUUCUGUUAAGUGGGAAGAAAUGUUCCGUUUUAAUACANCGGAGAGAUGACGGUACCAUUAGAGAAAGCACCGGCUAACUUCGUGCCAGCAGCCGCGGUAAUACUAAGGGUGCGAACGUUAUUCGGAUUGAU